GUAACACGUACACAACCUGCCUUAUACUGGGGCAUAGCCUUGGGAAACUAAGAUUAAUUCCCCAUAACAUUGCGAAAUGGCAUCAUUUUGCAAUUAAAAUUACGGUGGUAUAAGAUGGGUGUGCGUCUGAUUAGCUAGUUGGCGGGGUAACGGCCCACCAAGGCAACGAUCAGUAGCUGGUCUGAGAGGAUGAUCAGCCACACGGGCACUGAGACACGGGCCCGACUCCUACGGGAGGCAGCAGUAGGGAAUAUUGGACAAUGGGCGCAAGCCUGAUCCAGCCAUCCCGCGUGAAGGAUUAAGGCCCUAUGGGUUGUAAACUUCUUUUCUCUGGGAAUAAAAAGUGGGAUUUAUCCUGCCUUGAAGGUACCAGAGGAAUAAGCACCGGCUAACUCCGUGCCAGCAGCCGCGGUAAUACGGAGGGUGCAAGCGUUAUCCGGAUUCACUGGGUUUAAAGGGUGCGUAGGUGCUUUGUAAGUCAGUGGUGAAAGCCCGGAGCUCAAUCCGGAACUGCCAUUGAUACUGGUUAGCUUGAAUCAGGUAGAGG
This 547-nucleotide ribosomal RNA is filed under the name uncultured bacterium. RNAcentral's name for it is "bacterial SSU rRNA". It matches the Rfam family "Bacterial small subunit ribosomal RNA", at positions 110 to 657 of the family's 1533-position model. The record is from RNAcentral.